This 482-nucleotide ribosomal RNA is filed under the name uncultured bacterium. Its description in RNAcentral is "partial 16S ribosomal RNA". It matches the Rfam family "Bacterial small subunit ribosomal RNA", at positions 30 to 507 of the family's 1533-position model. The record is from RNAcentral.
AUUGAACGCUGGCGGCAUGCCUUACACAUGCAAGUCGAACGGUAACAGGCCGCAAGGUGCUGACGAGUGGUGAACGGGGGCGUAAUGCAUCGGAACGUGCCCAGUCGUGGGGGAUAACUACUCGAAAGAGUAGCUAAGACCGCAUACGAUCUAUUGAUGAAAGCGGGGGACCGCAAGGCCUCGCGCGAUUUGAGCGGCCGAUGUCAGAUUAGGUAGUUGGUGGGGUAAAGGCUCACCAAGCCAACGAUCUGUAGCUGGUCUGAGAGGACAACCAGCCACACUGGGACUGAGACACGGCCCAGACUCCUACGGGAGGCAGCAGUGGGGAAUUUUGGACAAUGGGCGCAAGCCUGAUCCAGCAAUGCCGCGUGCAGGAAGAAGGCCUUCGGGUUGUAAACUGCUUUUGUACGGAACGAAACGGCUCUGGUUAAUACCCGGGGCUAAUGACGGUACCGUAAGAAUAAGCACCGGCUAACUACGUG